This is a non-coding RNA of Meleagris gallopavo (turkey), 5328 nucleotides long. The record is from RefSeq and is a predicted model, not a curated record. Lineage: Eukaryota; Metazoa; Chordata; Aves; Galliformes; Phasianidae.
UCUCUUUCUAAUACCACUUAAUUACUCUUUCACUAGUUUAUUGCUGAGAUCUGCUUAUCUGAGAUUGGCACCAGCUGCAGCUUUUCAAGUAAACUGGUAUCUGUGUUGUCAGUGCCAUCCUGGGCAGACGUAGCCAUGUCCAUGCCAUGGGAGAAGAGUAGUGGCCAGCCUGUCCUCUCGUAAUUUUCCUGGAUGGCCAAAACCAGGGAUGUGCAUAUGCUCUGCAUAUGCUCUGCAUAUGCUACUUCUCUGUUUUGGCACUCAUGCUCAGAUAUGCAGAGCCUAGGUUGUAAAUGAGAAUGGAGUGGCCACGCAUGUGUCCUGCCUUGACCUGGGCCUGAGACAUGACUGACACAUGCUCAGCUGUGGCCAUUACACCAGAUCCUCCCACUGCUGCGUCUCCUCCGCUUGACAUGUUGCCACUGUUAGAACUUAAUGGUCCUAAAGUCUUCAAAAAGAGAAGCCCUGCUUCCUUUCUUUCUUUUUCUUUGUUUCUCUGUAUAUUUCACUUUAAUUGUUAGACACAUAUUUACUUGCAGUUUUUGCAGACUGCUUCUCAAUGCUUCUGUUCAAUGUAAAAUGUGACACAGCUGAUGACCAAAAUAGAGAGACAAAGGAUAAAACUUCAAUUCCCGAGACCAGACCAAUGUACAACCAGCCUCCACAGGUAGGAGACUGCUACUUUACUCAUGCAUGAAGAAACUUUGAUAGCAGCUCAUGUGAGAAGUCUGAACGUGCUGCAGAAGGUUUCAGCAUAUUCAUAUAUGUUGAUUAAGUGCUUACUCAGCCUUUCUUGCCAUCCAUCAUGAAAGAAGCAUUAUUAAAAUUUAGAUGCUAAUACUAUAAUGACCACCAAUAUUGAAUGGAAAAGGAUGCAGAUACAAGGCUGGGCUGUGUGGUUAUUGCUGUGUAUCUUGUUUUUGUACUUGAGAUUUGCAACAAUGGAACUGUGGCUAGGGUGUUAAUGAAUUGUGUACAAGUAUUAGUGCAGUGAGCAGAGAUGGAAAAUGUCAGAUGUUUACAUAAGUUAUUUCCACAGCUACCAUUGUAACUUACAUGUUGUAAAUGUGUGAGUAUAAUGGACUUUCUUCACUGUGUUUGCUUUCUGUUUCAGUGCUGUAUGACUGUAAAUACGAACAUCCUCUUGUUUAGCUUGUUUAUUUAAUAUUUAAUCUAUGUAUACCUUUCCAAAAGAUUUCAGCAUAUAGCAUACACACAUUUUUUUCUGCUUUAAAAGUGCUUCUGCAGUGAGCAUGAGCCUGUUUUCUGUUGCUACAUCAUCUUAGAUAUUUGCAAGAUAACAUUUCACUUUAUUUUGUGGUGUUUUUGUGGCACUUUUUUUUCCCCUUAAUCCAUUAUUUCCCUGUCUCUUUCUCAUAUCAAAACUAACCAUAUCUCUCUCUCAUCCCAGCGCCACUGUAGCAUUUAUUACUGCUAAGCUUUUGUAAGCCUUUGGAGUAUCAGAGGUGUGUGUGUCACUGUUGCUAAUCUAAGAUCGGGCAAUGCAUGUGGGGGUGCACUCUAGAGUCUCAUUUUUAAUUUUUAAUUAAAAACUGUGCCUUAUAUGGAAAUUUUUCAUUCACCAUCAGUAGUGAAAGCUUUGGCUUUUGAUAACACAGGAUUAUAAAUCAGCUAGAGUUAAUAGCAAAACUUUAGUCUGAUUUCUGAAUCCAGGCACAUCUGAGCAAGGUGUUCUGCCAUUUUGAGGCAGUAAAAUGCCAUGGUAUUGUGGUUACUGGUUUCACUGACAUAGUUUCCCUUAAUGUGGUGUUCUCAUUAGGUGUUGCAAGCUGCCAGUGACUGUAGUUCUGUGGAGCUUCAGAAUAGGAACUGCAUGCUUACGAGUUAGAGAAAAGCAGCAGUUUUCAAAAUAAAAAAGCAAGUGUUACCAUGAAAAUAAAAUAAACAUUUAUUUUUUAUAUUGAAAGGCUUACAUGUCACCAGAAUGCUUGUAUGAAUCAACGUCAGUUAAACUGAGAGACCGUAUUUUAACUCCAGUCUCUGGAUUUCAUGUAUUUGAACUUCAUGUUUAAUUGGAGGAGUUCUCAAUUUCUCAAAUUAAAUAGAGAUCAUGGAAAUGAAAUUGAUAGAUUUGGCUGUUAGGAAAGCAAUAUUUCUAUUUACAGCAGUGAGUGUAUUUUUAUAAAUUUGUGGGAGAAAUCUACUAAUUUAAGAAAACUGGAAAAGCGUUGUUUUAUAUACUCAGUAUGUCCCAUAGGACCUUAAUUGAAAGAAUAAACUUGUAAUCAUUAAAACAAGUAUGUUUCAGAAACAUAGUAUAUUACGUUAAAAUAGAUUUGUUAAGCUGCAAAGUAAUACCAGAUAUUUCCCAUGCAUAGUUGAACAGAGAAGUUGCUGGAAACUUGCUUCUCUUUUAACACAUUAUACAUUUGACAACUUAAUAGGUGUUGACUUUGUGGAACACGAAUAAGUUCUUUUAGAAAUAUGGCUUAAAGAAUAAAGUCAUACUUUGUUUAUGGGUCACUUCCUUAUCUGAAAGGGAAAUGAGGUUGUGUUUGAUUUUUUUGAAGAACAUGUUUUCUGGAGUAUGUUUUUGUAACCAUUGUAGCCUUUGGAAUUUCCCAUUUAGGUACUGCUGGACUCAUUUUCUACACAGCUAUUGAAUUCUCAAGUACAUAUCUUUGUGCAGUAUUGCUUUAUUUAUAUAAAACUAAUGCACAAAUUAAAUCUUGAGACAAGAUUGUUUUGCUGCAACUUGCAACAUUUAACUGAAGCUCCUGUAGCAGUGGCAGUCCCUGCAAUCUGCAUUUUUUGUGAGGUUUCCAUGUUGCGUGUGGUGCUGUUAGAGGAACUGCAGAUAUCUACAGCCUCGUUCGUGUUUUCACUGGCCAGCUUCACUCUGCUACACAGCAGAGACAGAAUCUCCUGCUGUGAAGAGUCCCACGUGGAGCAUCUUCUCCAUCACGAGCUUGCAAGGGUUCUGAUGCCCACUUAAUCCUAGGGAACUUGGAGGUCAGGCAGGGUAAUGAGUUCUCUGGGCACAAUCAAGCUCACAGCACCCCACAGACAUGCACCGUCCGCAUUAGCAUGCGCCAUCCCAGGCAUGUGUUGUCCCACAGAUGCUGCUUCAGGCUUGUGGACUACAAGUUGCAUACAUGUUUAAGUGCUUUUCUGGAUGUGGGCCAAAGUGCUCAGUGCUCUGCAGGACUGGGAAUUUAGAUUUGUCUCUUUGUGUCCGUGAAUCACAAAGUUGCUAGUUGUAGCUGCAACACCAUCACAAUAGAAAGAGAUAUUAUGGAUUGGUUUUUUCAUGCUUGUGGGUUUUCCAUUCCAGAUAAUUCAGUCUUUAUCUGCUUUCAUUGGGAAUUCAAGGUUACAGAAAGUAACCAAAUGGAAGUGUUUAGUUUUGUAUAUGCAGAGUGCUAGAAGCCCCCGAAAUGUGAUGGGGUUAUUUUUUGUAAUGAGCUGUUCCACUGGUAAAGCAAAUUAGUGCAACCGUGUAUUUUUGUCCUACUGUGAGAGCAAUUAUAUAGCACGUCUAUUAGGAGACAUGAAAAAUAUUUUUGACAGAUGGUAUGGCUGUGAAUUAGGAUUUAUGAAGAUUAUUGUAUGUCUGGUGUGCAGGGCACCUGGGAUUAUUACAUUGAUGCAAGAAAGAAAAAAAAUCUGAUAAUAGCUGCAGCGUUUUGCAUCUCCCUACUGUCACCUUAAGAAGCAGUUCAUGUUUAUUUGAUAUGGCACUUCUGGAUAAUCUGACAUACGCUCUUUAGCCAACAGAUGUCAGCAGGUUUAAUGGGUGGAAACCAUACCAGUAAGUGUAUUAAAAUAAACCAUCAAAAAUGAGAGCUGCAUUUAGAUUGUGAAUUAAGAUUUUUUUCUCUUACUGUGUGUUGGUUUUUGGUUUAUUUUAUUAUCCUGUUUCUCCCUCAAAUACUCAAUUGCUAUUGCCUUCUAUCUAAGGAGCUUGUUACACGCUUUCCAGGGCAAGAGAGAAUCCUCCAAGGGAUUGCUUAAUCCAUAAGUACCUAAUUUAUAUGUUGUUGUUAUAGCCACUCUUAAUUAUAUACCUUGCUGUGAUACUUAUCUUCAUAGGACAUAGCCUUUGUUAUGAAUUGCAGUCAUUCUGUUAUAGCUCUUGUGACCUUUCUUGGCAUAAUUUAAUACUACAAGCUGAGAAUGUAGCAGAUAGAAGGGCCAUGUUUCCUGAAGUAAAUUUACAAUUAUCCAUGGCUAUUUGCAUGGAGACACUGCGCAGUGCACUAUUUUGGCUGAGUUCCCAAAUUUGUUAGAAAAAAACCCAAACUUCUGUAUCAGAAUUUGCAGAUAAUAUCCUCAUUACAUUGAUUGUUUUUAUAGCUCUGCUAUUUAAGGAUUCCACGUAAAUGUAAAUAACAAUUUCUUUGGCUGUUUUUGUCAAUUGGGAAGACAGAAACACUAUUAAGAUAUAAAAUGUCAAGGAAGAGAUAGUGGAGGUUGAGUGCACGGUAAAAAAGUGAACAAAAAAUAAUUUAUUGUUACUUUUACUGUUCUGAAGAAAUAGCAAGUCUUGCUGAAUGUGUUAGACUUUUAAGAUCUCCUUUAGAGCAGAUCACCUGGCAAGUGUCUGAUAUAAUUCCAGGAUAUGAAUAAUGCUAAUGUUACCUUCUUUUCCUUUUAAAUAUAUGUGUAUACUAAUUAGUUCUUCCAGACCUUUUAUUGUCCAGUUUUUACUAAAGCCUGGCUGUCGUGAAUAUUUUCACAAGUUAGCAGAAAAUGAGGUAUUACUGAUUGUGCCUUCACUUGGUCACCCAGCUCUUAGUUUUCAGUUCAGAGUUCCUGCAUUUAAAGGCUCAGAAUGGGCGUUCUGAGUUAGUUUUACUGCAUCAUUUUAAAUUCCCCACAUUUGCUUUAGAGAAAGUGGUUGAUAUAUCAAAAUCAUCACAGUUAUUGGCCAGUGUUUGUAGUUAGUCUGCUCCACUUUGACCAAUGCUAAUGUUUAUAGUAAAUGUUAUUUAAAAAGGAAAGAAAAAAAAAAAGAAGGAAGAAAAAAAAAAGCCUUCUUAAACUGGGAUUCUAGCUGUGUCCUGGUUAGAUUAAUUGCUUGUCAUAUGUCGUAUUAACUACAAGUAUUUCUUCUUCAUCUAUAAAGCCCUUAAAGCGUGUUGGUUCAUAUUUUCUCUCUUCUUAAUUGGGCAUGUAAGCAGUAAUCACUUAAUGAAAUUAUCCACUCUUAGGAGGGACUGGAAUAAGACUGUCUUUAUCGGGUCAUCAAGCGUGUACUUUUCUCUGAAUGCUGGUGCCUUCAGAAGAAAGAUCUGCUUUACUUGACUGUUGUAUAUGAUUUUAAGCUAUAGGAAGUGAAGUUUUUACAUUACUUUUAAAGAGAGA